CUCAGCUCUACCACAUUUCUUAUGUCUUCGUUUCUCAUCCUCUCUCGUCUUAAUAAUUGUUGCUCCUCUAAUGACUCGAAGGCAUCUCAUCUCUACUGCCAGUUUCUUGAUUUGUUUUUCUUUCUCUGCUCAAUAUAAAAUUACCGGGGUUGCAAUCUUCUUGUACACCUCCGUCUUCUAACUCGUCGCGCGACAUUAUGAUUCCACUAGUAGGCUCCCAGAAGAGCAGAAUAUUUUUUAAGAAAUGACAGGGACGGUUAAGACUUUUUUUUUCACCUCGUGACAACAAGAAACUUUUGGAAUCAAACUUGCCCUUCGAAAUCUUUGAUCCAAAUUUUUUGAGAGAAAUUUAUACUGUCGAACCCAACCAAAAGGGGGUCUAGAACUGGAUCAAAA
Paramuricea clavata is the source of this 396-nucleotide non-coding RNA. Lineage: Eukaryota; Metazoa; Cnidaria; Anthozoa; Malacalcyonacea; Plexauridae. The record is from the annotation of a GenBank genome assembly.